Long non-coding RNA from Felis catus (domestic cat), 1825 nucleotides. RefSeq lists it as uncharacterized. Lineage: Eukaryota; Metazoa; Chordata; Mammalia; Carnivora; Felidae. The record is from RefSeq and is a predicted model, not a curated record. The transcript has 4 exons.
UGACUGAGCCACCCAGGCACCCCUAAAUGAAUUUUUAAAAAAAAAAUUAAAUUCGUUGCCAACCAUUUAAAAAUUGCAGGCUCAUAUAUACAAAUCCAAUUUCUGGCUUCUCUUGGAAACUUGGAAGAGCUGGCUGCAUGAAGUUAUUCAUUCCUGCCUGGUAACAGUUGGCAGGAGCUGAAGUGGGUCAAGUAGGCUUUCUGAUUUCACCCCAGAUCCUGUCUCCACCACUACCUGCUUUCAAAAAGUAGAUUAUCAUCCAUCAAACUUCUGUUCAAGUAGGAGAUGCUGUGAUUACUGGCAAACUUGGCUGCUCAUUUAACGACAUUGUAUAGUGCAAAUACCUCUGUAUUGAUUAAAGUGAAAAAUAUAAGAGAACCAGGAGCAAUGUGGAUAAAUCUGAUGUUCAUUUGUGAAAGUGUAGAAUCUGUAUUUUCAUUUUUCUUUAAUUAUAGUAGUCAUUGAACAGAAUCAGUGACCAAGUGUCUCAUUUGAAUGUAUUUUCAGUUUGAUUCUACACGUGAAGUUUGCAUUCUGUGAUAUCACCACAUUGUUACAUGGACCUGGGCCAGUGUUUCUCCAUCUUUGUUGAGCGUUGGAAGGAGAUAGGAAGCUUGUGAAAAAUAUCAUGCUUGGGCCCAACCCCAUGGAUUCUGACUGGGGAGUUUUGGAGGUGUUAAAGAGAAAUUGAAGACAGACUAGCCCUGAGACUUCCCUCUUGAUAUUCCUGCUCCCCGCAACAUUCACUCAAUUAUUUUAUUAUGUGUUGACAUCAUUCUCAAUGGAAUGGAUGAUGGUAUUCUGGCAGAGUCUCCUUCCAAAUUUUGCUGAGUGUCACUAAACCACAGCAUUGAAAGGGACUUUAAAGAUCACCUCAUCCCAUCGGGUGCCCGGGUCCCCACCAUAUCAGCCUUCUGUGGUGCAAGUAAUAGAAACCAACUUUGUGUAAGUUAAACCAAAAAAGGUAUUUAUUCUAUUAAUACAGAUGGCUCAUAGAAUUAAAAAAAAAACCCUGAAGAACCGGCUAAGAGGAGUUAGAACCCAUAUUGACUCUGGGGAGCUAGGUGCUGGGUGCUGACAAUGUCUUUAAGUAUUACCCACUGGUGACCUCAGGGUAUUAUUUUAGGGAGUUUUAAUGUCCCCUCACCAACCCUCAGUCAGGGUAGUAGAGAUUCCUUAUAUUUAUUCAAAAUUCUAUGUACAAGUAGUUUAAAAUUGUCUCCCAAAACUUGCCCUCAACCAGAUUGCCACCCCAUCCUUUCUACACAGAAAUGAUAAGCCUGCCACUUAUAAUAGGUACCUUUUCAUGUUCUACAAUUUAUAUGAUUGGAAUCCUAAAAUGUUUACUCUUUUUUGUAUGUGAUUUCUUUGAUGUUUCAUAAUUACUUUGAGAUCCAUCAAUGAUAUUCUAUGAGUUAGCUCAGCCUUUUUUUCUUCUUUUUUUUUUUUUUUUUUGGCUGAGUAAUGUUCUUUGGAUCUACUGCUAUUAGUUUAUCCAUUCAUCUGUUUAUGAACAUUUGAGUUAUUUCCCUUUUUUGAUGAUGGAAAAUAAAGCAGGAUAAAUAUUUGUGUAUAAUUAUUAAUCGGGGGAAAAGGCUUUUUUUUCUGCCUCAAAGGGAAUCUUUGUUAAUCAUGUGUGCUUCACACAUGCUGUUUUUUAAGAAACCCAACUUUCUAGAGAAACGCAUUCCUCAAGACUGGCUGCAGCUUCCCAUCAUGAGUCUUGUAUUAAAAGAAAACCACAGUGGUACAAUUUGUUUUUGUUAUGUUGCCUUCUAAAUAAACUUUUUUAAUUUUUUUAAAGUUUGCUUAUUUAUUUUGAGAG